ACAGCAGCAGCCACGGGAACACGGAGGGUGCAAGCGUUAAUCGGAAUUACUGGGCGUAAAGCGCACGCAGUCGGUCUGACAAGUCAGAUGUGAAAUCCCCGGGCUUAACCUGGGAACUGCAUUUGAAACUGUCAGGCUGGAGUCUUGUAGAGGGUGGUGGAAUUCCAGGUGUAGCGGUGAAAUGCGUAGAGAUCUGGAGGAAUACCGGUGGCGAAGGCGGCCCCCUGGACAAAGACUGACGCUCAGGUGCGAAAGCGUGGGGAGCAAACAGGAUUAGAUACCCCUGUAGUCCCUGUCUCUUAUAC
This 305-nucleotide ribosomal RNA is filed under the name uncultured bacterium. RNAcentral's name for it is "partial 16S ribosomal RNA". It matches the Rfam family "Bacterial small subunit ribosomal RNA", at positions 506 to 807 of the family's 1533-position model. The record is from RNAcentral.